Molecule: ribosomal RNA, 206 nt
Filed under: uncultured bacterium
Lineage: Bacteria
Description: partial 16S ribosomal RNA
Rfam family: Bacterial small subunit ribosomal RNA
Source: RNAcentral
CAUGUAGGCGGCUGUGCAAGUCGUGUGUUAAAGCCCCUGGCUCAACUGGGGGAGGUCAUGCGAGACUGCGCGGCUGGAGGACAGUAGAGGCACAUGGAACUCCCGGUGUAGCGGUGGAAUGCGUAGAGAUCGGGAAGAACACCCGUGGCGAAGGCGGUGUGCUGGGCUGUUUCUGACGCUGAGAUGCGAAAGUGUGGGGAGCAAAC